This 465-nucleotide ribosomal RNA is filed under the name uncultured bacterium. RNAcentral's name for it is "partial 16S ribosomal RNA". It matches the Rfam family "Bacterial small subunit ribosomal RNA", at positions 28 to 507 of the family's 1533-position model. The record is from RNAcentral.
GACGAACGCUGGCGGCGUGCUUAACACAUGCAAGUCGAACGGAAAGGCCCCUUUGGGGGUACUCGAGUGGCGAACGGGUGAGUAACACGUGAGUAACCUGCCCUUGACUUCGGGAUAACUUCAGGAAACUGGGGCAAUUACCGAAUGGAAAUCCUUGCGGCAUGGGGGGGGUUGGAAAGCUUUGGCGGUUUUGGAUGGACUCGCGGCUUAUCAGCUUGUUGGUGGGGGAGUGGCUUACCAAGGCUUUGACGGGUAGCCGGCCUGGGAGGGCGACCGGCCACAUUGGGACUGAGAUACGGCCCAGACUCCUACGGGAGGCAGCAGUGGGGAAUAUUGCACAAUGGGCGGAAGCCUGAUGCAGCAACGCCGCGGGCGGGAUGACGGCCUUCGGGUUGUAAACCGCUUUCAGCAGGGGCGAAGCUUGUGGUGACGGUACCUGCAGAAGAAGCACCGGCUAACUACGUG